CAGGAGGCAACAAUGCUUACAAAAAAGCAAACAAGCAAAACGGGUAAGGAAGUGUAGAGGGUAGAAAAGCAACUUCAGCAGUAUAUCAGAAGUAGCACGCUGAAGAAGUCCUUCAGAAUGAGCAGCUGGGCAGCAACCAUAACUAGGUGGGGGAGCUGCAGCUGAUGCCAAUUAAUAGUAGUGGUGUCAGCUGCAAAACAGAGCAGAGACCAGAAGUUUGGUGGAGAGCAGGUUCCACACCUGAAUUGGCUGGAGGAAGGCGGCAGAGGAACAGUUUAACUUUUUAAGCUUACAGUAAGAACAGGAAAGAAAGGCAGGAGGUGUGAAGGUAUUGUAAAUAGGCUUCUGUAGAAAGGAAAAGUGUGAGGUGGUUGAAGGUAGUUGAGAAAAGAACAAAGCUGAAAGAAAGGAAGCUUUGCUAUGAUGGAGUACAUAUAUUUGCUGCUUCUUCAACUGACAGAAUUACUAGCUGAGGCAGUAAAAGCUGUUGUGUGAGAUAUGUAAAGGAGUAUAUUAAGGAGAGCCUUACUUCCAACUGCAGGACACUGGGAACAGUAUUGGAGUGACCAGCUCAGAGUGUUGCAGCAGCCCCCUGUUACUUUUGGAGGAAUGAAAAAUUAUUUGAGGAUGUUGCGUAGCUGGACACAGUACCUGUUACAGAAACAACUGUGGACUAAGGUUCUGUGAAAGACUACUGCAGGCAUUAAGCCGUGUGGCACUGGACAAGUAUCAUGCAGGAAGCUUGCUCCAAGGCUGUUCUUGUUUUGGAUUGAGUUCUUAUUGAAAAGAGGCUGAAAACGAGUUCUGGGAGAGCAAAGAACGGAGCUUUGAUUUUAUUUUAUUUUUAUUUUUAUUUUUUGCCUGCUUAAUUCCAACUCAUUUGUCUCUUCUGGAUCCUGAAUUCUGGGAAGAUGACUGCAGAUAAAAGCUCUUCAGGACACGUGAAUCGUGCUUGCAGAGUCAAUGAACAUUAGCAGAACAUCUGCUCCAGACUGGACUUGACGUUAAGGACCGUAUAGAUGGCUGUCAGCAGGCUUGAUUGUGCACAGAGGAAAACAUCAAGGACUAGACUGAGUGGAUUCAGAAGAGUGCUGUCUGACAUUAGGUGAAGGCAGAAUCAUGGGAAGGUCUGCUUCUAUCUCAUGCAGGUGAUUAAACACUGGAUUGAAGUUGAGGCAUUGGAAAACCUCAGAAGCUGUUUUACUGCAAGACAACACCAAUGCUACAGAUAUUAUUCCUACGAUACUAGAAUAUGAAUCAAGAAGAUAAAACUGAAAAAAAAAUAGUUUAUUUUGGAUUUUUUUCAUCUCUGUAUUUAAAAAUGUUUUUCUUGCUCCAAAAGUAAUGCUUUCUGUUUAUUUCCUUGAAAACUACUACAGAUACAUCAAGCACAGCAACGCUAUCUUAUAGAGCAAAUUCUCAGCUACAAAACAUUAUUUUUCAACAUAGUCAGCAGCAGUAGGUAUGGAAUUUCACCAGUGUCUUCCAUGUCAUGCUUGUAAAAAUUCCCACCAGUGGAAGUGACUGUUGGUCGCUGUUGUGACUGCUGAAACACACCACCCACCGCCUCACUGGGCUCACAUCCAGUAUUUGGUCUCCGUAAACAUUCAUCAAGGGUCGAUGAAUGUCAAUGAGUGCGAUUUUUUCCUAACAGAAGAAUUCAAUGACACACCUUUGCUUCAUCAGCACUUCUAUGUCAGACACCAUUCUAUCAGACUACCCCUCUGCUGCUGUCUGCCACACAGCAACAGAACGGAAUGGGAUAGUGGCCGGAAGGUUAGACUUCUAUUGCCAAACCACCAACGUCCACCUCUGACACUGUGGGCCAACAUAAUAAAAUAGGAGGCAUUGCUUUUAUAGUAGCCCUCCUUCUUUGUAGGUUGAUGUGAUAUUAGCUAAAUAAUCUGCAGUUAACAGCACAACUAAAGUUUUGCAUUCUUAAAUGAGCCUCAGACCAGCCUCAUGUAUACAUGCACACUUUAAAAGCAUACAGGCAUAUACGGGUGCAGACUGUAGGUAUUACGUUUCUACAUGUAGCCCCUUAGUUACUGGUUUUCCCACAGUUCAGCUUUGAACUGUGGGAAAGGGCUGACUACACACUCCAAAUGAGAACAAUAACAAAAAGUCCUAUUGUAUAUUUAACUAUUUAGAGCAACAAUACCUGUUGUCAGAUAUAAAAGAUUGUUUUAUAUAUUUUCUCAGGAUGGUCAAAUCACUAUUUAUAUCAUAGAAUCUCUUCUCAUAUCAUCAUGUUUUAAUAUACCUAUUAAAAAUGGAUAGGAGUUGACUGACUCACACACUAUUCAGAGUACCCAUUUACAAAUAAUAAAGGAAAAUUUGCCAAUAAUCUGCAGUAAAAUAUGAAUAGUUCUGUUAAUUCAAGUAGCACAGAUGCAGCAUGUGCCAAUUUAGCAAAUACAUAAAGCCAAAAAGCUUCUAGAAUCAAUCCAAUUUGUUCUGAAGUCACAAAAAUGUUGGCUUUAUAUGUAGUAUAGUAAUAAUGUACAGCUUAGGAAAGAAAAUGGGAACUAACUCAUCUAUCUGGAAAGCAGACGUGCAGAAUGGUCCUUUAUGCUCCUCAUGCAAUCCAGAUUCGGAAGAGCAGAGAGAAAAAAAAAAAAGAAAAAAGAAAGGAUGUAAUAAUAGACUUAAAGUAAACCAAAUAAAGUCAUUUAAAAAUGACUAAAGAGCAAUAGCAAAUGAAAAAUGCCUUCGGGUACACCAUCUGUUUAUCCAUUCCAUAUUAUACCUUUUCAUCACAAUUACCUAAAGUAGUAUAUUUGUAUUUCUGUAAUGUAUGGAAUUCAUUACAUAGUUUUGCAAUGAAAUUAUCACACUGUGGCUGGGACAUCUGCACCCUGUCAUAUAUCAUUCUAUUCAUUUCUAGUUAAUUUAAUCCUAAUAUCUGCCUACAUGACAAGACAGAUGUUCAGCUAUACUGUAUCUUCCAUAGUUUUCUGCCUUGAAGAAACUUUAAGUCACUGAAAGAAAUGUCAUCUUUUAAACAGACAUCUUACGGGUUUGGGAAGUAUGCCUGUGCAGAUGUGCUUGUACGUAUGUGUUUGUGUUUAUAAGCCAUAUUCCUUUUAUGAGAGGAUUGUUUUACAAAACAAAAAUAUUUUACAGCAUUCUUUAAAUUUAAACAUUUUUCAUUUCAGACACGUCUUUCUUUUCAAAGUGUGCUUUAUUAAUAUUUUGCCAUACUUAUUUAAUAGCAUUCAGAAAUAUAAUGUAUUUCUCUUGAAUUAACUUCUAAAUCUCUUGCCUUGAAUGGGACAUAUCUUUUUCAUCAUUGCUAAUUAGAAGUCAUGGGUCAGUCUUCCUCUUUUCAUUCUCAGCCUCAACUCUCAAAAAUCAAAUGAUAGUCAUUCUUUUUGGGUAAUAGUAUUGUCAGACACACAGAUGCCAACCAGAAGCACAUUAUAUUCUAUGUGUUUUACAGUUGUUUGAUUUGAAUUUGUAUGAACUUAUGCCAUUGGUCACUUACUUAUAGAUGUAAAAUAAAUUUGUAGCAUAUCUAUGUGGAAAAAGAA
Long non-coding RNA from Numida meleagris (helmeted guineafowl), 3533 nucleotides. RefSeq lists it as uncharacterized. Lineage: Eukaryota; Metazoa; Chordata; Aves; Galliformes; Numididae. The transcript has 6 exons. The record is from RefSeq and is a predicted model, not a curated record.